UGAACGCUAGCGGCAGGCCUAACACAUGCAAGUCGAGGGGCAGCGCGGGGUAGCAAUACCCUGGCGGCGACCGGCGGACGGGUGCGUAACGCGUAUGCAACCUGCCCCUAACAGGGGGAUAACGGAGGGAAACUUCCACUAAUACCCCGUAUAGCCGCGGGCCGCAUGGUUCUGCGGCGAAAGCCUUCGGGCGGUUAGGGAUGGGCAUGCGUGGCAUUAGGUAGUUGGCGGGGCGACGGCCCACCAAGCCCACGAUGCCUAGGGGAGCUGAGAGGCUAAUCCCCCACACUGGUACUGAGACACGGACCAGACUCCUACGGGAGGCAGCAGUGAGGAAUAUUGGCAAUGGAGGGAACUCUGAACCAGCCAUGCCGCCGUGAGGGAGGAAGGCCCUACGGGUUGUAAACCUCUUUUGCCCCGGGGCAAUAAGGCGCAUGCGUGCGCCGGUGAGAGUACGGGGCGAAUAAGCAUCGGCUAACUCCGUGCCAGCCGCCGC
Molecule: ribosomal RNA, 496 nt
Filed under: uncultured bacterium
Lineage: Bacteria
Description: bacterial SSU rRNA
Rfam family: Bacterial small subunit ribosomal RNA
Source: RNAcentral